Molecule: ribosomal RNA, 468 nt
Filed under: uncultured bacterium
Lineage: Bacteria
Description: partial 16S ribosomal RNA
Rfam family: Bacterial small subunit ribosomal RNA
Source: RNAcentral
GACGAACGCUGGCGGCGUGCUUAACACAUGCAAGUCGAACGGAAAGGCCCUGCUUUUGUGGGGUGCUCGAGUGGCGAACGGGUGAGUAACACGUGAGUAACCUGCCCUUGACUUUGGGAUAACUUCAGGAAACUGGGGCUAAUACCGGAUAGGAGCUCCUGCUGCAUGGUGGGGGUUGGAAAGUUUCGGCGGUUGGGGAUGGACUCGCGGCUUAUCAGCUUGUUGGUGGGGUAGUGGCUUACCAAGGCUUUGACGGGUAGCCGGCCUGAGAGGGUGACCGGCCAGAUUGGGACUGAGAUACGGCCCAGACUCCUACGGGAGGCAGCAGUGGGGAAUAUUGCAUAAUGGGCGGAAGCCUGAUGCAGCAACGCCGCGUGCGGGAUGACGGCCUUCGGGUUGUAAACCGCUUUCGCCUGUGACGAAGUGUGAGUGACGGUAAUGGGUAAAGAAGCACCGGCUAAGUACGUG